CCUACGGGAGGCAGCAGUGAGGAAUAUUGGUCAAUGGACGAGAGUCUGAACCAGCCAAGUAGCGUGAAGGAUGACUGCCCUAUGGGUUGUAAACUUCUUUUAUAUGGGAGUAAAAUGUUCCACGUGUGGGAUUUUGUAUGUACCAUAUGAAUAAGGAUCGGCUAACUUCGUGCCAGCCGCCGCGGUAAGACGGAGGCUCCGAGCGUUAUCCGGAUUUAUUGGGUUUAAAGGGAGCGUAGGUGGUUUGUUAAGUCAGUUGUGAAAGUUUGCGGCUCAACCGUAAAAUUGCAGUUGAAACUGGCAGACGUGAGUACAGUAGAGGUGGGCGGAAUUCGUGGUGUAGCGGUGGAAUGCGUAGAUAUCACGAAGAACUCCGAUUGCGAAGGCAGUUCACUGGACUGCAACUGACACUGAGGCUCGAAAGUAUGGGUAUCGAACAGGAUUAGAUACCCGUGUAGUC
Molecule: ribosomal RNA, 460 nt
Filed under: uncultured bacterium
Lineage: Bacteria
Description: partial 16S ribosomal RNA
Rfam family: Bacterial small subunit ribosomal RNA
Source: RNAcentral